Molecule: ribosomal RNA, 301 nt
Filed under: uncultured bacterium
Lineage: Bacteria
Description: partial 16S ribosomal RNA
Rfam family: Bacterial small subunit ribosomal RNA
Source: RNAcentral
CAGUCGCCACGGGAAUACGAAGGGUGCAAGCGUUAAUCGGAAUUACUGGGCGUAAAGCGUGCGUAGGCGGUUUGUUAAGUUGGAUGUGAAAUCCCCGGGCUCAACCUGGGAACUGCAUUCAAAACUGACUGACUAGAGUAUGGUAGAGGGUGGUGGAAUUUCCUGUGUAGCGGUGAAAUGCGUAGAUAUAGGAAGGAACACCAGUGGCGAAGGCGACCACCUGGACUAAUACUGACACUGAGGUGCGAAAGCGUGGGGAGCAAACAGGAUUAGAUACCCCAGUAGUCCCUGUCUCUUAUAC